This 45-nucleotide non-coding RNA is filed under the name Trichobilharzia regenti. Lineage: Eukaryota; Metazoa; Platyhelminthes; Trematoda; Strigeidida; Schistosomatidae. The record is from RNAcentral.
AUCCAGAUGACGAGUCCCAAAUAGGAUGAUUUAAGCAUCCUGGAU